Molecule: long non-coding RNA, 1879 nt
Filed under: Oncorhynchus kisutch (coho salmon)
Lineage: Eukaryota; Metazoa; Chordata; Actinopteri; Salmoniformes; Salmonidae
Description: lncRNA (ENSOKIG00005007730.1)
Source: RNAcentral
GUGGCUGGCAGGGUGACCCACUAUGCGUCUCACCUCCGCCACGAGACGUCUGUGGACGCGACGCUUGGCUGCUACCAGCAGACUGAUGUCUCAGUGGUGUACGCCACUCUCCACAUGGGGCUGGACGGGCUUCUCUCCUCUUCAGCGUGGUCGGAGGCUGCCUCCUUCUCUACUCCCACCACUCAGCAGUUCAGUGACCCAGAGCCUGAGGGCCACAACUGCUAUGAGGUCAGACGUUACACACACAUACUAUUGACUAGGAGCAUUAAGAUCCUUCCAUUGACCGAUUGUUUGUUAUGUCAUUGCACUGGUCACUGAUUUUGAAUGCUUGUUUUGUUGUCGUAGGGCUGGGAGGAGGACCUGCUGCCUGAGGAGAGGGAGGUUCCUCUGCUAAAGUGAGUUCCUCUAAAUGUCUGUGUAGUCUGAGCUUGUCAAAUGCUGAAGGAUAGUGGUCAUAAUGUUGUUAUCCCCCAUUGACUCUAAUGGUUGACAUGCUUCAUUCCCUCCCUUUCACAGCCUCUACCUUACCACCAAGAGAGUGGAGGACAUCGUCCUGAGGCUCGUCUCCUUGCGCCAGGCCUUCACUGUGAGUGGACCCACUGUUCUUUUUGUCUCUGUGACUUCUUGUUCUGUCUCCAAGAGGAAGAGGUCUCACCCUAACUCUUCCCUCUUCCCUAGACCCUGCUUGGUUCCACCCUGAGCAGGAACCAUCUGUUUGUGGCAGGAAAGGCCCUCCUGGGCGGCCUUGUUCAGGCCAACCACAUGGUAACUCACUAACUCAUUCUCUUUCAAGGGAAAGAGAGCGUCCCUGAGGGGAAAUGUGUUCUGUUCACUAAGAUGCUCUUUUCUUUGUCAUAGGACGAGGCCAAAUUCAUCCGUACCUAUAACGACUUUGUGGACUACCUGAGUGACCCCUCCAAGCGGAAUGACAUUGAGAGGGAGCUGGCUGAGGCAAAGGUGAGUUCAUUAACUCUUUCAAGUCUCACUGAGUUCUUCCACAUGCAUGUCUUUUAUACAUCACAGUAGCUGAUCUAUAUGAAAUCAUUCCUAUUUUCUACAAAUGUGUUUUCUUGUCCUAGAUCCAUCAUGUGAACAUGAUAGAUGUCCUCUUUGAGCUGGUGCUGUUUGGGAUGAUGACAGCUCAGAAGUCCCUGAUGGUGGUAAGUAGCAUCUCACUGGAACAUGUUUUGAUAUUGCUCUAUUAGCAGUUUCACUUAAAUUCCUCAUCUCUUCUAUUCUCUUUUCUCCUCCUUUGUUUCUUUUAGCACCCUGGUGGGUUCGUGGAGCGUCUGUACGCUCUCCUGUCCUCCUUCCUGCCCACUGCUGCCAACAUGGAGCCAGAGGCUGAUAGAAUCCUACUGCUGCUCAAUGUAAGAGUCAAGAGGUUACUUCCUGUUUACUUCCAUAUUCUUAGUGUACUUCCUUUUGACUUCCUUAUUCAUGGUUAACCAGCUUUCAGUAUUUCUAAUUGUCUCUCUCCUCUUGAUAAGCUAGUAACUCAGAGCCAUUUUCUAUGUGUUGUGUGGUGUUCUCUUCAGGGCGGACUGAUGGCUCUGCUAGAUGACAUGUUUGGCCAGCAGCUGGCCUGGUAUUUUAACUCCGAGUCUCUGGUCACUGAGCUCUCCAUCCUCCUGGAGUACCACUUGGAGAACCUCAUGGCCAGCAUGUAGUCCUACUGCAGGGACCAUACUCCUUUCUCCUUCUCUCUCUCUUAUGAAGGAAUUGAGGACUUGAAGUGCUUUGUUGAACCCUGAUUAGUUAACACCCAUUAAUUUAAUGUAUUCUCUUGUUUUCUCUCCCCACAGGAUUAUUGUGACACUUUGCCACCCAACAGGGAUCUAGACACCAAUGCACUACAUUACUUUGCACUGAAUUUGAC